RNAcentral lists this microRNA (22 nucleotides) under Polistes canadensis. RNAcentral's name for it is "pca-miR-3786-3p". Lineage: Eukaryota; Metazoa; Arthropoda; Insecta; Hymenoptera; Vespidae. The record is from miRBase by way of RNAcentral.
UCUGUAUGGUUCAGGACGAUAC